AUAAGACAAUAAACUAUGUAUUAUCAAUUAAUUAAUUUGUAAUAUAGACAAUAUUUUCAGCUCAGUUGAUUGUAUUUAUUUAGAAGUCUUAAGUAAUUAUCUAAUCCUGUGUUUUCUACUUUUAUUGUAUAAAACAUAUCAAGUAAUAUAAGUGUACAUCCCACUACGAAAAGGAGAUUUUUGUUGAAAAUUUGUGUUGUCCAUAAUCAAGAACAAUACACGAUUAUGAUCGUGAAGACGUUUGAUUGGAAACAGGAUCAGGAAUAUGAUUUAGUUGUCCACCGUAUCGUACUUCACAACGAGACAUGGUAAUACUCUAUGUCCACCCGUCAGUCUGUAACAUACAAACCCGCGACCAUUUGCCAACUAGCUCUCAUAAUUGGUAGGAUUAUUUGUCUUCAUGUAAUCACGACUAUACUCAAUAGUUAUUCUGAAUUGAUAACUGUUGCGGUGGUUGUUUACUAAGAACUUAACAUCAUGUUUACUGUUAUUACGCUUUGUAAACACAAAUGAGACCGUUAACUCGAAAACUUUAACACAUAUAGGAUUAUUUCUUAUCAUAUAGCUCAUAGAGUUUGCCUAUCAUCGGUCUGUUGCAGCAAAACUCACAUCAUGUGACCACUAUAAGGAUGUAAAAUGUGGAGCUGAAGUAAAGCAGUCUAUAAUUGAGACACUUUCAUUCCCAAGAUAAAGAGCGACAGGGAACAUCUUUAUUCAGCAUGUUUAUCUUAUAUAGACUUUAAAAACUAUGAAAAAAAACGUAAUAUUUAACAUAAGAAUUAUCUUUCAUAUUUACAAAACAUCCUUUGCCGGACAAUACAGUUACAUAAAGUUGAAUUUCACAAAGAAACUACUGUUCACUCCUUCAGACAAAUUUGACUCUAGGUGGAAUUAGCUAUUCUUCCAAUCAAAUAGCUCCUAAAGUGUUAAAGUUUUGAUAUAUGUUUGGCUUUCAAAUGUUUUUGAAAGGGGAUCUAGCGUUCCAAAUGAUUAAACUCUAGGUAAGAGCUUCGAAUGCAACCAUUUUCAUCACGCUGACUAUCUAAUUGCGGAUCAUUUGAUAAAACAAAGGCGGAUUUAGUCAGCAACAAAACAAAUGAUUUCAAUGUUUAUUGCCCUGACUAGCUUGAUGUUUGUUGCUUUCAUUAUUUUUUGACGGAUUUAAGUAACUAGUAGAGGUAGAUCUGAAAAAAGGGCUUUCGACGCACA
RNAcentral lists this long non-coding RNA (1209 nucleotides) under Mytilus galloprovincialis (Mediterranean mussel). The record is from RNAcentral. Lineage: Eukaryota; Metazoa; Mollusca; Bivalvia; Mytilida; Mytilidae.